Cygnus olor (mute swan) is the source of this 2352-nucleotide long non-coding RNA. RefSeq lists it as uncharacterized. NCBI's taxonomy places the organism in Eukaryota, Metazoa, Chordata, Aves, Anseriformes, Anatidae. The transcript has 2 exons. The record is from RefSeq and is a predicted model, not a curated record.
GGGAGGUGGGAGAGAUGGGAGGUGGGAGAGAUGGGGAGAAGGGAGAGAUGGGGGGAAGGGAGAGAUGGGAGAGAUGGGGAGAUGAUGGUGGAUUUGGGGAGGCAUUUGCCCCGCGGAGCUGGAAGUGUACUGAGUAUGGAUGGCAAGUGAGUGGCGACCAGCAGGCGUUAGGACUCGGUGUUUCCUAGUUCUCUUAUCUGCCGAUGAUGUCCACAUGAAAUCCCUGACUGCUCAUUUUGGUGAGGUGGGAGAGAAGCAGAGGAAGCCCCAACCCCGCGCUGCCAUCCCGAUCUCGGGUGCCUUAGGGAGCUGCAGGCCUGCGUACGAGGGGCAGGAGGCUUCCCCGUGCACAUGUUCAGGAGCUGAGCGUCCUGGCCGUGUGGUUCGGCACAACUUGAACUUUUCAUGAGGUUGUCUGUGGGUACAUUUUCUAAUCCACACGUGGAGCACGAGGAAAGGAACUGGAAAGAGGAGCUUCAGCGGCCCAUGUCUGCACAGGCCAAUUCCUGGGCUGGGGAUGUAGGCCCGGCAGCCAUGUUAGCACUGCCACAGAAGAGCAGAGAGGCCGGGAGGUGUCAGCAAGAAGAUGGACUGCAUCAGGCCUGUCAGUGUCGGACAGCAGGGCCGUGCCCUUGCUCUUGGCCUUCCCAGCCCCGCAGGGAGUGGAGGCGUGAAUGUCGGUGUGAGCCCGGAAAGUCGCCGCCAGCAGCCCCGGAGCAGCCUUGGCCCUGGCCAAGAGGCGUGUGGGGAGUGGAGGGGGAGCGAGGGCUUAAAUUGAGCAAACGGAGUGAAAUUACCCGUGGUGAGGACAAUUUGUCAAGGGGCCUUUAGUGUCGUGACAGCCACCGACGUGCGAGCUGCACGCGGUCGAUCGGUGUAAAUUAGGCCCCGCCGGUCGAAAGCAUUAAUGAGGUAGCAGGGGCUAGGGAGGUGCUGCUGCUCUGUCGGGCUUUGGGGAGAAGAACGGAGGAAAAGCUUUGCUGGGGUUUUUUUUUUUGAAUACCAGAAGAGCCUCCCCGCAUCCCGCUCCGCAUCCCUUGGGGCCUGUUCUCUGAACGCAGCAAAAGAAGAAAAAUAAAAAGAAAAAUAAAAAGAAAAACAGAAAAGCCCGGAGGAGCUUUGGCCCGUGGCUUUGUCCUCCAUCACUGGGAUUUCUCCCGUGGAAUAGCUUUCCUGUGAAAUCUGUCUUUUUUAAUGUCUGUCGUCUGUCUCCGCCAUUAGGGUCCGUUCAUCCAGCCACUCACCGCUUGGUAACUCGGUACGUCAGUCGCUCUGUUGGUGUGUGAGAAUCUAGAUGUUGACCAAAAAAGUAUUUUUUUCCCCCGGAAUUACGUGCUGCCACUGGCAUCCCUGCAGUCCCUCGGUGGGAAGCCCAUGGUAUUUGGAAGGGAAGAUGCCACCGGCGAGGCAGUGUGGAGGGGUGGGGGCAGCAGUGCAUUUUGGGGACAGAACACCCUCCUUUGGCCAAAUCCGUGUCAGGCCAAACCUGGGGCUGGUGUAAGGACGUGGUGAUGCCCGGAGCCACCGGCUCUGCUCCCCACAGAGCUCCCAGCACCCGGUCCCCCCCUUCCCAGCCAAAUCAUUGCCAAACUGGAGGCUUUGGCUGCCCACAAAGCGGCCUGCUUGGUUUCCCCGUGAGGGAUUUGACCCCCUCCUGUAUGGAGAAGUCUCCUUUGUACGGAGGUGAAAUGAGAAUGGGGGAAAAAAGGCAAAGUAAGCGAUUUGCCUGGUUCCCCUCUUCCCCCGAAGGAGAUUAAUUAGUAUCUAUUCUUGGCAUGAUUGAUGGCUUUGAAGGAAAACUUGUCAGAAUAACUUAUGAUUUAUUUUCCUGCUUAUUUUUAUAACAUCCCUCACUUGGAAGUCUCUCAAAAUCUGAAAUACGAUUUUUAUUUCCCCGCUGGGUAUUUUAUGGCUUUACACAAAUUUUGCUCUUCUUGGUGUUAGCUGUUAGCCAGUCCCGGUGAUACUUGCAGUAUUUUUCAGGAGAAACUACUCUAAGGGUUGCAAAGUCCUGUUGAUGGCCAACGGGGCUAUGGUGUCCUGCAGAACGUGGAUUUAAUGCUAGCAAUUCAUUUUUUAAUGUAUUUAUUUGCAUUUGAGAAAGCAACGUUUUUAAUUUAAUCAUGUUUGUUAAACUAAGUGCUUAAAAAAAAAAAAAGGAGAAAGGUUUUGGGGAGAAUAAAGACUAGAUCUUCAUACUAGAGAAAACAAAAACUCAUCGUUUUCAGCAUUUCAGAGACUGUUAAAACAAGGGAGCUAAUAACUCUUUGUGGCAAUUCAGUCUUGUUUAUAGAACAUCCAAACCCACUGUAUGCUAUAAAACGCAUCAUCUGAGUAAUAAAUGUUUAAAGC